Molecule: long non-coding RNA, 428 nt
Organism: Syngnathoides biaculeatus (alligator pipefish)
Lineage: Eukaryota; Metazoa; Chordata; Actinopteri; Syngnathiformes; Syngnathidae
Exons: 3
Source: RefSeq, a predicted model, not a curated record
UUCCCCAUUCUGGGCACGUAGCGCGGUUGCGAAUGCGGACGCGGGCGUCGGACCCUCCUAUCUGACCCGGCGCAGCUCGCAUGUCUUCGUCAACGCGGGAAAACCGAUCGAUGCCACGUGGAAGUGAGGGGAAAAUCAAUGGCUGCCAUUGGUAAACAAAGAACUGAAGCUGGAGGGCGAUUACAACGGACUUCCCUUGUUGACAUACAACACUGCGUCCUGCAGGUAAUAAGGCAGGGGUGUCAAACUCAUUUUUGUCGCGGGCCACAUCGGAGUUACGAUUUCCCUCGGAGGACCCUUAUGGUGAAAUCCAUAGAAUUGCCUCCUCAUAUUCACAGGAAUCCUGGAUUUUGACACCGAGGAUUUGCCUUCGCCGGCCGGAUCUGGGCCCCAGGCCUCGAGUUUGACACCCGUGUAAUAAGGCAUCG